CCUACGGGAGGCUGCAGUGAGGAAUAUUGGUCAAUGGACGAGAGUCUGAACCAGCCAAGUAGCGUGAAGGAUGACUGCCCUAUGGGUUGUAAACUUCUUUUAUAUGGGAAUAAAACGUUCCACGUGUGGGAUUUUGUAUGUACCAUAUGAAUAAGGAUCGGCUAACUCCGUGCCAGCAGCCGCGGUAAUACGGAGGAUCCGAGCGUUAUCCGGAUUUAUUGGGUUUAAAGGGAGCGUAGGUGGAUUGUUAAGUCAGUUGUGAAAGUUUGCGGCUCAACCGUAAAAUUGCAGUUGAAACUGGCAGCCUGGAGUACAGUAGAGGUGGGCGGAAUUCGUGGUGUAGCGGUGAAAUGCUUAGAUAUCACGAAGAACUCCGAUUGUGAAGGCAGUUCACUAGACUGCAACUGACACUGAGGCUCGAAAGUGUGGGUAUCAAACAGGAUUAGAUACCCCUGUAGUC
Molecule: ribosomal RNA, 460 nt
Filed under: uncultured bacterium
Lineage: Bacteria
Description: partial 16S ribosomal RNA
Rfam family: Bacterial small subunit ribosomal RNA
Source: RNAcentral